CCUACGGGAGGCAGCAGUGGGGAAUAUUGCACAAUGGGGGAAACCCUGAUGCAGCGACGCCGCGUGAGUGAAGAAGUAUUUCGGUAUGUAAAGCUCUAUCAGCAGGGAAGAAGAAAGACGGUACCUGACUAAGAAGCCCCGGCUAACUACGUGCAAGCAGCCGCGGUAAGACGUAGGGGGCAAGCGUUAUCCGGAUUUACUGGGUGUAAAGGGAGCGUAGACGGCUGUGCAAGUCUGAAGUGAAAGCCAAGGGCUCAACCCUGGGACUGCUUUGGAAACUGUGGGGCUAGAGUGCAGGAGAGGUAAGUGGAAUUCCUAGUGUAGCGGUGAAAUGCGUAGAUAUUAGGAGGAACACCAGUGGCGAAGGCGGCUUACUGGACAGUAACUGACGUUGAGGCUCGAAAGCGUGGGGAGCAAACAGGAUUAGAUACCCUUGUAGUC
This 441-nucleotide ribosomal RNA is filed under the name uncultured bacterium. RNAcentral describes it as "partial 16S ribosomal RNA". It matches the Rfam family "Bacterial small subunit ribosomal RNA", at positions 338 to 795 of the family's 1533-position model. The record is from RNAcentral.